ACAGAUGGGUGGUGGCUGUGCAUGAGGUGUACUGGCAGGGAAUCAAACCCAGGUCUCCCCCAUGGAAGGCAAGAAUUCUAUUACUGGACUACCAACUCCUCUCAUUUCAAGAUAUAACUGAAACAUAUUUUUCUACUGACCUUACAGAUAGAUGUUGAAAGAGGAGUAGAGAAAACAGUUACCAAAAGUAUGAUGACAGAAUUCUUGGGUAACCAUAGAAAAUACAUUGGGGUGGCAUCAGGAAUGGCCUCACAGGGGAAAGUGCAUUGGCUAUAGCUGUGCUUCCUCCCUUCAGAGGUACAUAAAAACAUUAAAAUGUGGGUCAUUUUUACAAGAGUAGAGCUUUCAGGACAGAGACAAUCUGUGAUUCAUGAGGCUAAUGUAACCAGGGUCAAAGCCACUGGACAUUGAAAAAGGUAAGCUUUGCAGCUAAAAAUGAAGGAAGGGCACAGAAAGGUGGACAAGGACAUGCUUCAAGAAAAAUGGCCUAUUUUCCAAAAUCCUCAGUCCAGCCCCAGAACCACAGACCCCAUUUGCUAAUUUUGUAUAUAUCAAUGUUCAAACCCUAGAGUUUACAUUGGGGAAUAUAAUUCCGGACGUAUCCUAGGCCUUCUGGAGACUCUGCUAACAUUUUAUCACCCUGAGCAUGAAGUGAGAAGGAAGGUGAAAAGCCACUAUUUACUUUGAGGAAGCAAGUCUGUUCCUCUUAUUUUCUUCUUGAGAAUGUACUGGUGCCUUAGGAGGUAGCAAGAAGGAGAACAGAACAGUAUUUGUGGCUUGGGCAAUGCACACAGACAUUAUAGUAGUAGAUAGGGUUCAGUUAGGACAAAAGCAACAUAAUCUAUCAAAAUAAAAAUAAUCCAUACUCUAUUAAUAAAACAAUGCCUGCAACUCAUCCCUUAGCAAAGACAGUUAGGAGCACUAGAAACAUCAUGAGUUCUUGAAAAUAUUAGUUUAGGGUGCUGUUUAGUCACAGGAAUCAAUAAAAUGCUGGUCAUUUUUAGGAAGGAAGCACAUUGUGAAACAGGCAGCUUGGCUUGUUGAGUUUCUUUAAUAUGCACCUUGUCUCUGAGGCAGUGAAAAGAAGUUCUGGGUCAAGAAACUUGAAAGAUGACUUAACUGAUUUGAAGGGGAUCAAAGAACAGCCACUAACUGAAGAAAUGAAGGAGGUAAAGUAACUUCUGUACAAGAAAAUACAUACGACUCCUUAGUCUUAAAAGAUGAAAGAUGAAAUCAGUGACAACAGGUUUAGAUGGGACAUGUAGAAUUCUUCACCAGAUCACCAAGUGUCAGAACAGAAACGGACAGACUUACCAAAUAACAGCACUGUAAGGGUACUUAGAGAUCAUUCUAAUCCAAUCUUCUUGUUAAAAAUUAGGGAAGAAAGAAGUGAGGUGACUGUCCCAAGGACACCCAGCUGGUACUAGCAGAGCUAAGUCUAGACCUUAUUUCUUUAUACAACCAUCUCUCUGAACUCUAUUCAAAGGCCCUAUAUUGCACCCUACCAUAGAAUGUCUUUCAGGCCUGUUUAAUUCAUUCUCAUUCUGGCAGGGACCUAAACUCAGACAAUGGAUGAAGUAAUUUAUUCUUAGAUGAAAAGAGCAAUAACUCUAUGCCUUACCUCUUCCGUAGCUAUUCGGAUUCCAACUGAGCACUCUCAAAGAGGAAAGGUUCUAAACCAAAGAAUCAAAUACCUUCAUCACCACUCUCUGACGUGGGAGAUAAUGACAGCAAGAGACACUUUCCUGGACUCUCUUAAAUUAUACAACCUACAUACCAACCAAUUCCCCAGUAUUUGACCAGAAGUGACCUAAUUUGAUAAUGCAGCCAUCCAUGUUUUUAAUAAUUAGUGAUGGACUCAAUAGUGUAUCAAGAAUAUCAAGUAGAAGACUGGCUAAAUAUUUUGACUAAGGCAUAGCAAUGAAUCCUUUUGACCCUCAGUGCUUCCCCACUGGUGCUCCUUUGCCUUCUUCAUGUAUCCACUUUAUUAACACAAAUAUCUAUGAAAACAGAACAUGCUAAUAUCUUGAUGUGACUUAGUAUGUCAGCUGAAAAUUUUCUUCCUAAAUUAAAGGUAUCUGGAGCUUUAGGCCACUGGACAUUGAAAAAGGUAAGCUUUGCAGCUAAAAAUGAAGGAAGGGCACAGAAAGGUGGACAAGGACAUGCUUCAAGAAAAAUGGCCUAUUUCCCAAUUUUUGCUGAGUCUCUGUAUUUGUUUCCUAGGACUGCCAUAACAAAAUACUAUAAACUGGGUGGCUUAUAAGAAGAGAAAUUUAUUGUCUCAUAGCUCCAGAGGCUACAAGACCAAAUCAACAUGUUGGCCAGGCCAUGUUCUCCCUUCAAAGGCCCUAUUUCCAAACAAGAUCAUGUCCACAGAGGAAGUCUUGCUUCAAAGGAGCAGUGUGACUGUUUCUUUCUCUAAGCUGAGGCCAUUUCUGAUCUCAGACUGUGGCUGUGUCAUACGAAGAAUACCCUUGGUGUGCUCGCGGCAUCCGCACACUUGGAUACCCCCUCAGUAUCAUCUACUAUGGAGCAGAUUAAACCCAGAGGCAAGCACAUACCACAGAAGACAGAUGUCAUGUGAGGAUCACCAAGGAACGAAGGAAUGCCCCUGGCUACCUACAAGAAAGGAAUCAACCCAGCCUAGACCCUGAUUUGAUCUUUUAGCCUCCAGAAAAGUGAGAAAAUAAAUUUCAGUUCUUUAAUGACACCCACUUGUGGUACUUCUGUUAUAACAGCACUAUGAAACGAAGACAGCUACCUUACAGGGUCAUUUUGAAGAGUAUAUGGGAUAAUCCACAUAAUGUUUGUGGAACUGCACCUUGCACAAAUUAAGUACGUGUUUGCAAUUAUUAUUCAGCAGUCUAGAAAAUCCAAAGCAGUCAGGUCUCCAGACAGCUAAUUUUUUGAUAUUGUCAAAAGAAGGAAACAUUCUUCAUUCAAUGGAACUGUCAAGUCAAAUAAAUUUUCAUAACUUAAAACUAUAUCUAUAUCGCUAACCAUGCAAUCCCUUCAAAAUUAUCCCUUCCCUGUUCUUUGAAUGACUAUUCUAAGCUUUCAACAAAUUCAGCUGGCCCAGGUAUCAAGCUUAAGAAAUUUGAGUUUUUAGUUCCACCUAAAACUCAGUUAAGCCUUCAAACCAGAUUCUAGCUCUUUUAUAAAAAUAAAAGGGAAGGAAACAAAACAAAUUUACGAAGUAUGAGAAAUUCUGCCUAAUUUGAGCCUUAAGCCAUUGUUUAAACAUUCUUUUAAAGAAAAGCCUCCAUGAUUAAUUAUCACUGACUUUUUUUUUCCUCUAGGAGAUCAACAAUCAACUAGAUGUAACACUUGGGAGAAUUUUUUUUUGGUUAGCCUAUUAAUCUUAGCCAGAAGAGAAGGGUGGGGGGUGUAGAAAAGAUUUUAGAAACCAUUCUAUGAAAGCAUUACAUCUUCAGAAAGGCCAAGGCAGGUUUUUCCUUCCUUCUGCCCCCCAAAAUGUAAGGAUCUUACAUAGCUACCUCCCUUAAGUAAGCUUAAAAAAAAAAUCAUUUUGAGCAUUGCUCUUAGGCCUGACCAUGCUUAUUGAUGAUAUGCUUAUGGAUCGUUUUCUACAAUAGUCUUUUCUCUGCCUAGUGAGGGAAAUCCAUUCAUUUUCCAACCUCAAAGAAUAAAUAUGAACAUAAAUCUUCAAGAGAUCUCAAGCUGUCAUUUAGCUUACCUCUCUGAUACCAGAUGUUUUCUUAAAUGAUUUCCAAGAGUCAUUUUACCAUUUACUUAAAAACAGAGACGAUCAGAAGUGACUGGAUCAAGCAAUUGGAGCACCUAGCUAGAGCUUUAUUUUUCAUAUUUCUUCUGGAGUAAUUUCUCUGAGUCCUAUAGGAGAUGGCUAUGGUAUUCACAGCCUAGUUACGGUAGUACAGUCUGUUACUCCAAAUAUGUUUCUUACAUUUUCUUGGUGGUACAGUGGACCCUGGAAGACACUGUGGGUCUUUUUGUUUGAUUAUUAACUUUGUUUUAUUUUUGUUUUUUAGAAACAUCAUUAAUGAAGAAGAGGAAAAUGAUAAUAAGGAAAGCCAUACAGUACACC
Trichechus manatus latirostris (Florida manatee) is the source of this 4066-nucleotide long non-coding RNA. RefSeq lists it as uncharacterized. The transcript has 4 exons. NCBI's taxonomy places the organism in Eukaryota, Metazoa, Chordata, Mammalia, Sirenia, Trichechidae. The record is from RefSeq and is a predicted model, not a curated record.